GACAACGUGGCCGAGUGGUUAAGGCGGAAGACUCGAAUCUCCAGAGACAUCUUUUGGGCUUUGCCCGCGCAGGUUCGAAUCCUGCCGUUGUCG
This 93-nucleotide transfer RNA is filed under the name [Ashbya] aceris (nom. inval.). Its description in RNAcentral is "Saccharomycetaceae sp. 'Ashbya aceri' tRNA-Ser". It matches the Rfam family "tRNA". Rfam says of the family: Transfer RNA (tRNA) molecules are approximately 80 nucleotides in length. Their secondary structure includes four short double-helical elements and three loops (D, anti-codon, and T loops). Lineage: Eukaryota; Fungi; Ascomycota; Saccharomycetes; Saccharomycetales; Saccharomycetaceae. The record is from RNAcentral.